GCCGAUAUGGACGCGGAUGCGGUUUGGAUGUCAGCCCAGAGUCUCAAAGCCCACAAGAGGGAAGGCACUGCAGCUUUCGAGUUGGCGAAGAAGGCGAGGGUAGAAGAGAUAGAUCCGGCUGCGUUUCACCUUGAUCGCCUAGAGCCCGCGUUUGCGACACAUCCUUGAGCAUGAGUACUUCUCGAUCCUGCGGAGGGGG
This 199-nucleotide long non-coding RNA is filed under the name Elaeis guineensis (African oil palm). RNAcentral's name for it is "long non-coding RNA (EGUI_LNC043923)". The record is from RNAcentral. Lineage: Eukaryota; Viridiplantae; Streptophyta; Magnoliopsida; Arecales; Arecaceae.